AUACGUAGGGGGCAAGCGUUAUCCGGAUUUACUGGGUGUAAAGGGAGCGCAGGUGGCAAGGUAAGUCAGAUGUGAAAGCCCGGGGCUCAACCCCGGGACUGCAUUUGAAACUAUCUCGCUAGAGUGCAGGAGAGGCAGGCGGAAUUCCUAGUGUAGCGGUGAAAUGCGUAGAUAUUAGGAGGAACACCAGUGGCGAAGGCGGCCUGCUGGACUGUAACUGACACUGAGGCUCGAAAGCGUGGGGAGC
RNAcentral lists this ribosomal RNA (247 nucleotides) under uncultured bacterium. RNAcentral's name for it is "partial 16S ribosomal RNA". It matches the Rfam family "Bacterial small subunit ribosomal RNA", at positions 523 to 769 of the family's 1533-position model. The record is from RNAcentral.